GAAAUGCGAUAAGUAAUGUGAAUUGCAGAAUUCAGUGAUUCAUCGAAUCUUUGAACGCACAUUGCGCCCGCCAGUAUUCUGGCGGGCAUGCCUGUUCGAGCGUCAUUUCAACCCUCAAGCCCUGCUUGGUGUUGGGGAUCGGCGUUGCCUCCUCCGUCGUUCGCGGCGGGGUGAGGUCGCCGCCCCCGAAAUGAAUUGGCGGUCUCGUCGCAGCUUUCCUUUGCGUAGUAACAUACCACCUCGCAACCAGGAGCGCGGCGCGGCCACUGCCGUAAAACGCCCAACUUUUUCAAGAGUUGACCUCGAAUCAGGUAGGAAUACCCGCUGAACUUAAGC
RNAcentral lists this unclassified non-coding RNA (336 nucleotides) under plant metagenome. Its description in RNAcentral is "partial contains 5.8S ribosomal RNA, internal transcribed spacer 2, and large subunit ribosomal RNA". The stretch from base 1 to 105 matches the Rfam family "5.8S ribosomal RNA", at positions 50 to 154 of the family's 154-position model. The record is from RNAcentral.